CUUUUUCUGACAGUCGAAAAUCGUGGACCGUUUCGGAGGAUUCAAAGUCCACGUGGCGAGCAACAUUCUGAUUAUUUUCGCCCACGUGACAUACACCGUCAGUCAAGUAGCCACACCAGCGGCACCAAACGCCAUGCCAUACGUUGCAAUAUUUGCCGUUGGUAUUUUUCUCAUUGCUUGGUCUGGCGGAACUAAUCUUACAACUUUUGCCUUACUUGGAGAAAUUACAAGUGAACCGACACGUUCUACUGCGUAUGGGUAUUCUGCAGCAAUACUUUGGGUUGUAGCGUGGGUUGCAAGCUUCAUACCACCGUACCUACAGAUAUACCUCGGCUCUUAUGCGCUUACAAUAUGGAUCGGGUUCGCUGUAUUGUUCAUUUUAUUUGACGUCAAACUAAUUUCACGAUUGAGACGCCAACGACGUCAUGAGGCCAGGGUUCACAGGGAACCUGAAAGUAUCGAGCUUAAGGCUUAACUUUCAAAAGGCUAUGGAUUAAAAGUGUGGGAAAUAGUGCCAGUUGAAAAGUGUGAGCUAUUGUACACAUUCUUGCCUCAAGGAAAUAGACAAAACAUAACAGCUGGUAUACGAAAGAGUUCAGGAAAAGCAAUAUUCGGUGUUUUUCCAUACCCUUCUGAUUCUGCCAAAGCAAACGUUA
Non-coding RNA from Ciona intestinalis (vase tunicate), 656 nucleotides. The record is from RefSeq and is a predicted model, not a curated record. NCBI's taxonomy places the organism in Eukaryota, Metazoa, Chordata, Ascidiacea, Phlebobranchia, Cionidae.